This is a long non-coding RNA of Ctenopharyngodon idella (grass carp), 5689 nucleotides long. RefSeq lists it as uncharacterized. NCBI's taxonomy places the organism in Eukaryota, Metazoa, Chordata, Actinopteri, Cypriniformes, Xenocyprididae. The record is from RefSeq and is a predicted model, not a curated record. The transcript is spliced from 13 exons.
UGAAAGUCUGGGACAAGGGAAAAAGCUAAAUCUAUGAAUAAAGUAAAAUUUAAAAAUAAAGGCACAGUAAAAAAGUGAUUGUGAUCUUCAUAGUCUAAAUGUACAAAUAAAAUGUGAGCAAGCCAACAAACACCUUUACAAACAACAGAAGUUGACCCAAAGUGCUUUAGCCUACAACAAGGACACUCAAAAACUAAAGAAUAAAAAUAAGUUUUUAAAUAGGUCUUAAAAGUGGCAGUUGAUGAAGCUGACACUGGUAUUAUUCAGUUGUGCUGUAUACAUAUGAUUUAUAUUCUUACUUUUACCUGUUGUCUUCUUCAUAUGGCCAGUAGUACAUUAAUGUCUGUAUAAAGUUUAAACCACUAUUCUUCAGCCUCCCUCCAGCACAUUUGCAAAGAAAAUAAAAAAAAUAAAAAUCUGUAAAAUUAAACGGCGUUUAAAGUGGGUUGAGGGUCUCCAAGUGGCGAUAGUUAAAAAGGUGAGCAUUUUAACUCUGACAAAUGCACCGCCGCAAAGCAGGCUGGGUAGAAAAGCAGAAAGUAUGGCGGAAGAAGAAGAGCCGUUACUGCUGCUGAAUGAACAACGAGCACAGAUGGGCUUAUUACGACAUUAUUACACGGAUAUUUGGUCGUAUGCAAGCUUGUUUGAACAUUCGCUUAUUCCCUCUUUUUAGGCAGAAGAAAAGAAGGAGAAUAGCGGCGCUGACUGAGAAGAUAGAGAUGAGAUGAAAUGAAUAAGAGCUGGCUGCAGCAUGGCAGUUGAAGGUUGCAGCAUUGGUGACUGGGAUGGCUGAUGGAGUCAUGAAGAAGUUUCAGGAGAGAUCUGGCCCUUUCACACACCCAGACUUUGAGCCUAGUGAGGAGAUGCUGUUGCUCGGGACGGUGAUAACCUGAAGCAUGUGUUCUUGGAGUCUUUAGAGAGAGCAGCUGAGUUUAAUAUCCCCUCACUCAAGGUGUGGUUAAACUCAUCAUCCCUGCUGUUGCAUCCACAAAUGCAGUCAUUGCUGGUAUGGAUUUCACCUGAGAGGAAUCCCCCUAACCCUAUUUUCAGCUGCUUGCAUCACAGAAGUUUUUAAAAUUGCUACAAGACAAAUGAAGUUCCCAGCUAUCACUACAACACUUGAAGAGAAAAAUAAAACACUCUAUUUGCAGACCAUUACCUCAAUUGAAGAAAGAACAAAACCCAAUCUAUGCAAAACAUUGAAUGGUGAGAUCUUUUCCAGCCAUGAGAAACAUAUAAAAGCACAACUGAAAUUGAACUAUCGAACGAUCAGAAGGUUGCCAGCAUUAUCUGUUUUAUUCAACAUUCUUGCUAAUGGUUUGUUUGUAUGCGUGUAUGAUGAAGAGCUGGGAUUGGCUGAUGGACAGAAGUUAGCUGUCGCUGAUGUCACCACACCUCAGACUGUCAUCUUCAAGCUCAAGUUCACGUCAUAAACAUGCAGCAUUAACCAUGUACAAAAUUAAAUGAAUGGCAGAGGUUCCUCAAACUCACCUGUAACAGUUUCUUCACAAAUUAUACCUAUUGUAAAUUUUCCUUAUCUUUAUAUAAAUAACUCCCUUCAUUUUUAGAGUCUGUUUGCUUUGUGCUUCAGUCAUGUUUUGUUUUCACUUUAUCAUUCAUGAGGAAGGUUGUCAUUUUAUCAAUCAACAAUCCAGGCAAUUUUUUAGAUUAUGCAAGGAUGAUGAGUCCUGUACCACAAAGCAAGUUUAGCCAGGUAAGGUUCAGUACCACAAGUUUGUGUUCACUGGAUUAGUAACAAACACUGUAUGACUAACCGUUACAGGAUUGGUUUGAUCAUUAUGUUAUGUUUUCAAUCACAGAUCACCAGUCAGCUGAGAAUAAUGAAGUCACUCUCCCUGUAUCUCUUACUCCAUUUUUAUUUAUUUAUUUUUUUAUAAUGAUCAUAUUGUUCAUCAUGAUGUCUUGUGCUGUGUAUUUAAAUUCUUGAUGUUUUUCAUAAUUAUCAAUGAUCAAACCAAUCCUGUAACGAGUUUCUUUAACUUGUGGUACAGGGCUCUGGUACAUCUGUGUCAGUGGGAGUUUUUGUUUAACAUUUAGUUAUUAAGACUUUGCAAUAAGGUCCCAUUAGUUAAUGUCAGGUGAUGCAAUAACAAACAAUGAGCAAUAGCUUUAUUACAGUAUUUAUUAAGUGCAACUGUUUAUUGUUCGUUCAUCUGAGCAGGUACAUUAAAUAAUAAUAUUAACAGACAAUUUUAAGAUUAAUAAAUGCUUUAGAAGUCAUUUUUUAUUGUUUUUGUUAACUGUAGUUACUAAUGUUAACAAAUAGAUCCUUACUGUAGUGUUAAUAUUUGUUUCUUUUUAGUGGUUUGCUGUUCAGUCUUGUAAUAUAUGUUUAAGUUAAUGUAUGUAGGCUACAUAUUAUUUUAGCAUUUGUUUGUGAAUGAAUUUGCCUUAUAAUAAAAUCCUUUUCUGAAGUUGUUUGAAAUUUUUGCAAAUUUAUUUUUCAGUUAAAUAUAAGGAAAGGAUAGGUAGUUUUUGUAGCUGUUUUCACUAUUGAAAAAAAAAAACAUUUUGUCUGCGUUUAAAUAUUGUUAAAUAUGCUUUAAGUUUACUUAUUUACAUUUCUGUCUUUUAAUUGUUAAUGUAUGCACAUAAUAGUUUGUUGAUGGGAAUCUAACACAGCCAGACUUCAGCAGAUUCUAUUCUCAGUGAAGCGCUAUUAUGACGCGAGUGAUGCAGCAGGUAUAUAUGAACAUACUGAACUAGAAUUCUCUGUUGGGUGAUUUGGCGAUUGAUGCGGUUGGUGUUUUUGGUGCGGUUGGCGAGUUUCUACAGUUAUUGAAUUCCUUUGAUUAUUGAUUUUCGGUUUUUGACUCUCUUUCGGACUUUGACUAUCGGCUUUGGAUUUGCGACACAUUUUGAUUCUCGGUUUUUGACUCCCUUCUGUUUUUGACGCUCGAUUUUUGACUUCUUUGGAUUCCCGUUUUUGACCCUUUUCUGGUUUUGACUCUCGGCUUCGGACUCUCCUCGGAUUGGUUAACAGCUCGGCGACUGAAAAAAACGCCGAUCCUUUCAUUGAAAUGGGAGUGUUCGGAGUUUUAUCAGUGUGUCUGGAAACACAGAGAGCUGUGUUUGGUGUGCCCCUGAUCGGCCUGAGGAGGAGUGGACAGAUGAGGCAGGGUCUUCCUCUAGCGCUCAUGCACAUAGUGGAGUUUGUGGAGAAGCAUGGUCUCAGAGAGAGUGGACUGUUCAGGGUUGGCGGGAAAGUGAAACGCUGCCAGGAAUUGAGGAAAAGUUUUGAUCAAGGAGGCGUUCCGGAGUUUGACAGUGAGGAUAUUCCUACUCUCGCCUCAUUACUGAAACUUUUCCUCAGGGAAUUACCUGGUGGACUUAUUCCAGAGCCACACAGGACACAACUGCUGAAUGUGUUCAGGGAUUCAAAAGAGGAAGAAAUGAAUCAGGCUUUGAGGACAAUCCUGAACAGUCUUCCUGAGGAACAUUUUAACGUCCUCUGCUACCUGUCAUUCUUCCUGUCCCGUGUGGCUGCCGAGAGUCAUCUAAAUCUUAUGACAUCCAAGAACUUGUCAAUAGUUUUUGGACCCACCAUCUUUCAGAGGCAGGGGACACUCACUGGACUGAUGAAGAGUGUGCCCAACAGCUGCCACUCACAGAAAUCAGAUCAGAGCUACCUAAAAUUGGACGACUUGGGCGAUUGAGAAAAAGAUUAAGAAGUUUUGGAAGAAAGUUUUGCUCAUGCUUUGGCAGUAACAAAAUAGAGAAUGGAGAGGUCUCUGCAUGAAUGGAGACCUAGACGUAGGUCAGUAGAAGAUAAUUGGGCCGAUGAUCCUGACUGCAAGACACUGCGAUCUUUAAGGGUCACUGGAAGACAAUGAGGCCAGUGAGGGUCACUGCAUGACAUUGAGACCGGUGUGGGUCUCCAGAAGAAAAUUGGGCCGCCCUGUAAGACACUGGGGCCACUGAGCCUCAUCUCGAGACAUUGGGGCCAGAGAGGGUCACCAGAAGACACUGGGGUCACCACACAGCACUGGGGCCGGUGAGGGUCACCGGAAGUCAUUGGGGCCAGAGAGGGUCACCGGAAGACACUGGGGCCGGUGAGGGUCACCACACAGCACUGGGGCCGGUGACCCUCACCGUGAAACACUAGGGCUGGUGAGGUCUCCACAGAGCACUGGGGCCGGUAAAGGUAACCUCAAGACACUAGGGCAGGUGAGGGUCACCGGAAGACAUUGUGGCCGGUGAGGGCCACCACACAGCACUGGGGAUGGUGAAGUUAACUGCAAGACACAAGGUCUGGUGAGAGUCACUGGAAGACAACUGUGUCAUAAAACAGAGCAUCGGUACGGGGUGUCGUAAGGACAAUGUACAACACUUGAAAUGCAGUACAUAACAAUGGUGAUGGACGACAGCAGGUGUGAUUAUGAAGAUACAGACAAGACAGAUGCUGAUGUUGACUCUGAAGCUGAUUCAAUUAAAGCUUGUCAUUUUCAGUCAAUUAGUAGCGUCUCUCUUUUUUCUUUGUCUUUUGUUUGUAGUUGUUUAGGCAAGCUGAAUUAACAAAAUGUCAAAUUUAGAAAAAGCCCUGAUUCUGCACUCCAAAGUUCAGCUUUUUACAUUUACAUUUAUUUACACCAAAAUCAACACUGGUAUUACAAAACACCUGAUAUUAAACAUUUCUGACUAUCAGAAUUUUUUUAAAAAAGUUUAAACACUUGUAUUGUUGUUGUUUUCAAUAAACUCUAAUAUGGAAAUGAUAUUAUGAAAAAAAUAAUGUACCUGUAACAGUUUCUUUGCAAAUUAUACCUAUUGUAAAUUUUCCUUAUCUUUAUAUAAAUAACUCUCUUCAUGUUUAGAGUCUGUUUGCUUUGUGCUUCAGUCAUGUUUUGUUUUCACUUUAUCAUUCAUGAGGAAGGUUGUCAUUUUAUCAACCAACAAUCCAGACAAUUUUAAGAUUAUAUAAGGAUGAUGAGACCUGUACCACAAAGCAAGUUUAGCCAGGUAAGGUUCAGUACCACAAGUUUGUGUUCACUGGAUUAGUAACAAACACUGUAUGACUAACCUACCCCAGGCAGGGUAAGUUAUGUUUUCAAUCACAGAUCACCAAUCAGCUGAGAAUAAUGAAGUCACUCUCCCUGUAUCUCUUACUCCAUUUUUAUUUUUUAUUUUUUUAUAAUGAUUAUAUUGUUCAUCAUGAUGUCUUGUGCUGUGUAUUUAAAUUCUUGAUAUUUUUCAUAAUUAUCAAUGAUCAAACCAAUCCUGUAACGAGUUUCUUUAACUUGUGGUACAGGGCUCUGGUACAUCUGUGUCAGUGGGAGUUUUUGUUUAACAUUUAGUUAUUAAGACUUUGCAAUAAGGUCCCAUUAGUUAAUGUCAGGUGAUGCAAUAACAAACAAUGAGCAAUAGCUUUAUUACAGUAUUUAUUAAGUGCAACUGUUUAUUGUUCGUUCAUCUGAGCAGGUACAUUAAAUAAUAAUAUUAACAGACAAUUUUAAGAUUAAUAAAUGCUUUAGAAGUAAUUUUUUAUUUUUUUUGUUAACUGUAGUUACUAAUGUUAACAAAUAGAUCCUUACUGUAGUGUUAAUAUUUGUUUCUUUUUAGUGGUUUGCUGUUCAGUCUUGUAAUAUAUGUUUAAGUUAAUGUAUGUAGGCUACAUAUUAUUUUAGCAUUUGUUUGUGAAUGAAUUUGCCUUAUAAUAAAAUCCUUUUCUGAA